RNAcentral lists this ribosomal RNA (513 nucleotides) under uncultured bacterium. Its description in RNAcentral is "partial 16S ribosomal RNA". It matches the Rfam family "Bacterial small subunit ribosomal RNA", at positions 28 to 523 of the family's 1533-position model. The record is from RNAcentral.
GAUGAACGCUGGCGGCGUGCCUAAUACAUGCAAGUCGAGCGAACAGACGAGGAGCUUGCUCCUCUGACGUUAGCGGCGGACGGGUGAGUAACACGUGGCGAACCUACCUAUAAGACUGGGAUAACUUCGGGAAACCGGAGCUAAUACCGGAUAAUAUAUUGAACCGUAUGGUUCAAUAGUGAAAGACGGUUUUGCUGUCACUGAUAGAUGGAUCCGCGCCGCAUUAGCUAGUUGGUAAGGUAACGGCUUACCAAGGCGACGAUGCGGAGCCGACCUGAGAGGGUGAUCGGCCACACUGGAACUGAGACACGGUCCAGACUCCUACGGGAGGCAGCAGUAGGGAAUCUUCCGCAAUGGGCGAAAGCCUGACGGAGCAACGCCGCGUGAGUGAUGAAGGUCUUCGGAUCGUAAAACUCUGUUAUUAGGGAAGAACAAAUGUGUAAGUAACUAUGCACGUCUUGACGGUACCUAAUCAGAAAGCCACGGCUAACUACGUGCCAGCAGCCGCCGUAA